AACGAACGCUGGCGGCAUGCCUAACACAUGCCAGUCGAACGAGACCUUCGGGUCUAGUGGCGCACGGGUGCGUAACGCGUGGGAACCUGCCCUUAGGUUCGGAAUAACUCCCCGAAAGGGGUGCUAAUACCGGAUAAUGUCUUCGGACCAAAGAUUUAUCGCCUUUGGAUGGGCCCGCGUUGGAUUAGCUAGUUGGUAGGGUAAAAGCCUACCAAGGCGACGAUCCAUAGCUGGUCUGAGAGGAUGAUCAGCCACACUGGGACUGAGACACGGCCCAGACUCCUACGGGAGGCAGCAGUGGGGAAUAUUGGACAAGGGGCGAAAGCCUGAUCCAGCAAUGCCGCGUGAGUGAUGAAGGCCUUAGGGUUGUAAAGCUCUUUUACCCGGGAUGAUAAUGACAGUACCGGGAGAAUAAGCACCGGCUAACUCCGUG
RNAcentral lists this ribosomal RNA (433 nucleotides) under uncultured bacterium. Its description in RNAcentral is "partial 16S ribosomal RNA". It matches the Rfam family "Bacterial small subunit ribosomal RNA", at positions 29 to 507 of the family's 1533-position model. The record is from RNAcentral.